GAGGAUAUAGCUCAUUGGUACAGUGCGUGCUUAGCAUGCACGAGGUCCUGGGUUCAAUCCCCAGUAUUUCCU
RNAcentral lists this transfer RNA (72 nucleotides) under Camelus bactrianus (Bactrian camel). It matches the Rfam family "tRNA". Rfam says of the family: Transfer RNA (tRNA) molecules are approximately 80 nucleotides in length. Their secondary structure includes four short double-helical elements and three loops (D, anti-codon, and T loops). Further hydrogen bonds mediate the characteristic L-shaped molecular structure. tRNAs have two regions of fundamental functional importance: the anti-codon, which is responsible for specific mRNA codon recognition, and the 3' end, to which the tRNAs corresponding amino acid is attached (by aminoacyl-tRNA synthetases). tRNAs cope with the degeneracy of the genetic code in two manners: having more than one tRNA (with a specific anti-codon) for a particular amino acid; and 'wobble' base-pairing, i.e. permitting non-standard base-pairing at the 3rd anti-codon position. Lineage: Eukaryota; Metazoa; Chordata; Mammalia; Artiodactyla; Camelidae. The record is from Rfam by way of RNAcentral. RNAcentral also lists the same sequence under 2 other names.